Molecule: long non-coding RNA, 309 nt
Organism: Prionailurus viverrinus (fishing cat)
Lineage: Eukaryota; Metazoa; Chordata; Mammalia; Carnivora; Felidae
Exons: 3
Source: RefSeq, a predicted model, not a curated record
CUUCCUGGGUGUUGCUGAUUACUGGGGUGGAGGAACCGGGCACAGCAUCGAGACCACGUUGUGUUCCUUCAUCUGAAGAAGGGUCAAGAGAAGAUUGCAGUGAAAAUGGGAGAGCAGAGGGAUGGACUUCAGGACCCUCCUGACGGCGUUCCAGGGGACGACUUCACUCCCAGCGGAGAGACUGCAGGCCAGGUCUCAAGGCUCGCUGUGCUCCCGGUGCUGGGGAAAUGUCACUGUGAGAAGAAUAGAAAACUUAUUCCAAAGAGUAUUGAAGACUGACUGAAUCAGGUCUGCAACAUUAGUGAAACG